Rhodamnia argentea is the source of this 520-nucleotide long non-coding RNA. RefSeq lists it as uncharacterized. The transcript has 3 exons. Lineage: Eukaryota; Viridiplantae; Streptophyta; Magnoliopsida; Myrtales; Myrtaceae. The record is from RefSeq and is a predicted model, not a curated record.
AAAAAAGAUUAAAUUAUUGUGCUCUCUUUUCCAAGUAUCUUCCAUUCAAUUGAUUCCACAAUGACUAUUUUCUUUUUCAACUCAUAAGUAGGAAUUCUUGGUUAUUCACUUCAAUUUGCUUGUUGGGACUUCUUGGAUCGUGUGUUUGUAGACUUUGCUUGUGGUAGGUUGCUGGUAAUCCGAGCAUCUUUGACGCUUUUUGGGACUUCAAUUCUAGGAAGGAAGCAGUUGAUAGGCUCUUGUUGCAGCAAUUUCGAGUUACGUGUAUAGUUUUUUUGCUGGAAAUUUUGCUAGAUUUUUAUUAUUGUUGAGAAGCCAGUCUUGAAAAAUGUACCCAAGGAGCGAACUCACUUCAUAGUUUGAGUGGGCACAAUUUGAGGGUCUUCCCUCAUUUCGAGCUGUAAUUGUGUGGAUGGAUUGGUUACGGGUAUUCGCUAUCAAGUUUCCUGCCCUCUCUUCACCUUUGCUUGAGCUCCGAUUCCACAUCUUGCAUUUGUUUUACGAUUUUUUCCGUCUCUGG